RNAcentral lists this ribosomal RNA (497 nucleotides) under uncultured bacterium. Its description in RNAcentral is "partial 16S ribosomal RNA". It matches the Rfam family "Bacterial small subunit ribosomal RNA", at positions 28 to 507 of the family's 1533-position model. The record is from RNAcentral.
GAUGAACGCUGGCGGCGUGCCUAAUACAUGCAAGUCGAGCGAACAGAUGAGGAGCUUGCUCCUCUGACGUUAGCGGCGGACGGGUGAGUAACACGUGGAUAACCUACCUAUAAGACUGGGAUAACUUCGGGAAACCGGAGCUAAUACCGGAUAAUAUAUUGAACCGCAUGGUUCAAUAGUGAAAGACGGUUUUGCUGUCACUUAUAGAUGGAUCCGCGCCGCAUUAGCUAGUUGGUAAGGUAACGGCUUACCAAGGCAACGAUGCGUAGCCGACCUGAGAGGGUGAUAGGCCCCCAGGGAACUGGAACACGGUCCAGACUCCUACGGGAGGCAGCAGUAGGGAAUCUUCCGCAAUGGGCGAAAGCCUGACGGAGCAACGCCGCGUGAGAGAUGAAGGUCUUCGGAUCGUAAAACUCUGUUAUUAGGGAAGAACAAAUGUGUAAGUAACUAUGCACGUCUUGACGGUACCUAAUCAGAAAGCCACGGCUAACUACGUG